This 497-nucleotide ribosomal RNA is filed under the name uncultured bacterium. RNAcentral describes it as "partial 16S ribosomal RNA". It matches the Rfam family "Bacterial small subunit ribosomal RNA", at positions 28 to 507 of the family's 1533-position model. The record is from RNAcentral.
GAUGAACGCUGGCGGCGUGCCUAAUACAUGCAAGUCGAGCGAACGGACGAGAAGCUUGCUUCUCUGAUGUUAGCGGCGGACGGGUGAGUAACACGUGGAUAACCUACCUAUAAGACUGGGAUAACUUCGGGAAACCGUAGCUAAUACCGGAUAAUAUUUUGAACCGCAUGGUUCAAAAGUGAAAGACGGUCUUGCUGUCACUUAUAGAUGGAUCCGCGCUGCAUUAGCUAGUUGGUAAGGUAACGGCUUACCAAGGCAACGAUGCAUAGCCGACCUGAGAGGGUGAUCGGCCACACUGGAACUGAGACACGGUCCAGACUCCUACGGGAGGCAGCAGUAGGGAAUCUUGCGCAAUGGGCGAAAGCCUGACGGAGCAACGCCGCGUGAGUGAUGAAGGUCUUCGGAUCGUAAAACUCUGUUAUUAGGGAAGAACAUAUGUGUAAGUAACUGUGCACAUCUUGACGUUACCUAAUCAGAAAGCCACGGCUAACUACGUG